GACAAAAUAAAUACAAUUAACUAGAGGUAACAUAAUACAAAUUUUAAAUUGAACUUCAUCAAAAUAAGUAUAAAAUAAAAAUUGACAAGUCUCAUAGAAGCACCCAUCAAAGUUUACGAUACUAAUACAAGGCACCUAUUUCAACUACACACCAAAGUUUCGCUACUUGACCAUGUAAAAACAACAGAACAUCAAAGUUAUUUUCAGAUUUUUCAUCAGCACAACUAAUCUGGAGACUCCUUCAACAGUUCAAUGUCCACAUCGCGUUAUUCUUUGUCUUCUCCAGACAUGCAAUUAUCUACCUGCCAUACAGAUUGCUGCGCAUGGAAGAGGAAUUUUCAUGAAUUAACUUAAGCAGUGCAUUCCGCGCAACCCCCUGCAUUGCCGGAACAAAGAACAAAUCAUUAUCACUACAAAACAUACCGGAACAAAGGCUGAGGGUCAAUUGACAAGUGAAGCAUCUAAAGUCUGGUCAAAAACCAAAAAAACCAAGAAAUAUCUAGUUACUGAUAUUUACAAUGAUACAUUUACAAACCAAGAAAACACUCAUAUACAGCUACUGACGCCUUGGUUAGUAGAGUAGAGGCACACAGUUUCUCUUGUUUGUCCAAAACUUUAACACAAUUGAUAUGACUAAGCUUAAAAGUCUAAAAUUUGAUCAUUGAAAUUAAAUCACAAUGCAAAGAAAAUAGAGCCAGAUGAGAAACAGGAAAUCUGGCUGUUUUUCAGCAAAAAUUUUCCUUCACUAUCUCUGUUUAAUUUGAAAACAUAUUUGGUGACAGUUCCUUGUUCCAUCAGAAGCAUAUAUCAAAGCAGCAAAAGAUUAAACAAAAUUAUAACGCAGACCAAGUUGCAAUUCUACACUUCUUCCGAANUAUACUUUAAAAUGCUUUUAUAUACAGAGGAAAGAAAAUGAAGUUUACGUUUUCGAUGCUCACUGCCUUAACUUAAUGCCACUUGACCUCAAAUUUAAUUCAGCAAUUUUCAUUAGAAAUCAUUAGUAUGCAAACUUUUCUCCAUAAAGCGCGAUGACAAGGCCUAUUAUUUGAGAAUAACCAAGUCAUACAUGAAACUAAAACAUCAGCGUCAUCAACAGCCAAUUCACAAUUUACCUGAAUAACCCAAUUCUGAGAAAAGAUUCCAGACAGAAUAGUCCAGCUCCAACACUUGCAUUACGAUUUGGCAGACUAAUCACCAUAUUCACAAUAAGCAGAACCCAUUUUUUAUUGAAAUUCUAAUGCAUAUUAAAGAAGAGUAAACCAUUAUCAUACAAGAGCAAACCAUUUCCGCUGUAAUAGGGAAUUCAGGAUAACUUCUUUAUAUUUUAUACACAAAAGAAGAGCGCUUUUCUGAUAUUAAUAUACAUGUACAAAGUACAUAGAACCUUUGUUAAAUAAAGUCAAAAUCAUUUAAGCAGGGAACAUCAGAGCAAGUUCUCUAUUAGAACAAUGUAUAGUAUUUAUGAGCUAGGAGAUCUCAAAAUGAAGCUCCAGUACAUUAACAAGAUUCCUGGCAGCACUACGACAGUACUGGCCAGUUACGACGCAAACAAAACUUGGGAUCAUUUUUUGAACAAAAAGACGCAAGCAAAAAUAACGAAAAGAUGUCAUUAACCAACACCAUAAUUACAAGUCAGUAUGAGCAACUUUUUCUACCACGUUAACAUGCCUACUUUAAUCUCAAGUUUCGUAGCUUAUAUUUCAGUUUGUCCUCUACAAAAAGAACAUAAACAAAUUACCAAAUUUAGUAUACAUUUCAAUUUGGAUUAUCAUUUUCAGAUGAAAUUUUCCUUUACAGGUUUAACUUAUCAUAGGAAUGUGACCUUUUAUUAUAAUUUACGAUGAUUACACUGUGCUUCAAAAUGUCUCUUACCACUUUCAUGCUACCAAUACAAACACAAAAGGAAUCAUCAGUGAAAAUGCCAAUGAUAUAAAUCCCCCAGCAGCUCCAGAUGACGGAGCUGCGUACUUCUGCUUCACAUGUGUAGCCCAUUUUGUGAAUACUUCCAUUGCAGCUAUCAUCGGUGGUAAAGUAGAGUUUUUGUCGCGUGUCAAUGUUAUAUUAAUUGUUGAGUUAAUCCUUGCUAUUAAUUUGAUUCACUUACCCAUCACCUCUCCAUUUCAUUUUCUAAACUCUCUCAGUCUUCACUAAUCAAUUGUUUAUAAACACACACACUGCUUAAAAUUUUUAUUGCUGCCUUCCAUAUGGGAAGGCACUCUUCUUGUUACAAGCAGAAGCUGAGGAAAGGACUUUAUCCCAUAAUUACACUACUAAUUACCAAACAAAAAGCAACAAUUCAUAAUCCACCUCAAAAAAACAAUCAAAACUCAAUAAAGCAAAUAUACAAACACAUAAAUUCGUAAUAUCGACAAUUCAUACAUAAUCAAAAUCAACAAUUAAUCAAAAUCAACAAUUCAAGCUGAUAAGGGGGAGGGGGAGGGAG
Molecule: long non-coding RNA, 2443 nt
Filed under: Daucus carota (carrot)
Lineage: Eukaryota; Viridiplantae; Streptophyta; Magnoliopsida; Apiales; Apiaceae
Description: long non-coding RNA (DCAR_LNC001974)
Source: RNAcentral